AGUACCUGAAACCAUGUGCCUACAAACCGUUGGAGCCUUCUUGUGGGGGUGACAGCGUGCCUUUUGAAGAAUGAGCCUGCGAGUUAGUGAUACGUGGCGAGGUUAACCCGUGUGGGGGAAGCCGUAGCGAAAAGCGAGUCUGAAUAGGGGCGUUGAGUCGCGUGCCUAGACCCCGAAGCGGAGUGAUCUACCCAUGGCCAGGUUUGAAGCGCGUGUAAAGAGCGCGUGGGAGGGACCCGAAACCCCACUUUCAGUUUGAAAAAAUGGAGGGGGGAUGAGCUGUGGGGUAGGGGGGUGAAAAGGCCCAAUCAAAACUCCCGUGAUAGCUGGUUUCUCCCCCCGAAAAUGCAUUUUAGGUGCAGCGUCACGUGUUUUCUUCCCCGGAGGUAGAGCUACUGGAUGGACGUGGGGCCCUACAAGGUUACUGACUUCAGCCAAACUCCGAAUGCCGGG
This 453-nucleotide ribosomal RNA is filed under the name Micrococcus luteus. RNAcentral describes it as "partial 23S ribosomal RNA". It matches the Rfam family "Bacterial large subunit ribosomal RNA", at positions 545 to 967 of the family's 2925-position model. The record is from RNAcentral. Lineage: Bacteria; Bacillati; Actinomycetota; Actinomycetes; Micrococcales; Micrococcaceae.